Molecule: unclassified non-coding RNA, 340 nt
Filed under: uncultured fungus
Lineage: Eukaryota; Fungi
Description: partial contains 5.8S ribosomal RNA and internal transcribed spacer 2
Rfam family: 5.8S ribosomal RNA (bases 1-133)
Source: RNAcentral
UGGUUCUGGCAUCGAUGAAGAACGCAGCGAAAUGCGAUAAGUAAUGUGAAUUGCAGAAUUCAGUGAAUCAUCGAAUCUUUGAACGCACAUUGCGCCCUUUGGUAUUCCGAAGGGCAUGCCUGUUCGAGCGUCAUUUCAAACCCUCAAGCUUCUGCUUGGUGUUGGGCUUUUUAUCGUCUUUUUCAAAAGACGGGCCUGAAACUCAUUGGCAGUAGCGCCUAACUCUUCAGCGUAGUUAAAUAUUUUCGCUUUAGUUUGUUUUUUAGGUGUUACCCGCCAGAUGAACCCCCCUAAAAUUUAUCUAUGGUUUGACCUCGGAUCAGGUAGGGAUACCCGCUGA